Molecule: ribosomal RNA, 599 nt
Filed under: uncultured archaeon
Lineage: Archaea
Description: bacterial SSU rRNA
Rfam family: Archaeal small subunit ribosomal RNA
Source: RNAcentral
GAACGAAAGGCUAGGGUAGCAAACCGGAUUAGAUACCCGGGUAGUCCUAGCAGUAAACAUUCCCCAAUUUGAUGUUGCUUUUCCGUUGAGGGAAGGCAGUGUCGGAGCGAAGGUGUUAAAUGGGCCGCUUGGGAAGUAUGGUCGCAAGACUGAAACUUAAAGGAAUUGGCGGGGGAGCACCGCAACGGGAGGAAUGUGCGGUUUAAUUGGAUUCAACGCCGGAAAACUCACCGGGAACGACCUGUGCAUGAGAGUCAACCUGACGAGCUUACUCGAUAGCAGGAGAGGUGGUGCAUGGCCGUCGUCAGCUCGUACCGUAGGGCGUUCACUUAAGUGUGAUAACGAGCGAGACCCACAUCUUUAAUUGCAAAUGUAUAUGAGGAUAUGCAUGCACUUUAGAGAAACCGCCAGCGCUAAGCUGGAGGAAGGAGUGGUCGACGGCAGGUCAGUACGCCCCGAAUUUCCCGGGCUACACGCGCAUUACAAAGAACGGGACAAUACGUUGCAACCUCGAAAGAGGAAGCUAAUCGCGAAACCCGUCCAUAGUUAGGAUUGAGGGCUGUAACUCGCCCUCCAUGAAUCUGGAUUCCGUAGUAAUA